UUUAUUGGGCGUAAAGCGAGCGCAGGCGGUUUUUUAAGUCUGAUGUGAAAGCCUUCGGCUCAACCGAAGAAGUGCAUCGGAAACUGGGAAACUUGAGUGCAGAAGAGGACAGUGGAACUCCAUGUGUAGCGGUGAAAUGCGUAGAUAUAUGGAAGAACACCAGUGGCGAAGGCGGCUGUCUGGUCUGUAACUGACGCUGAGGCUCGAAAGUAUGGGUAGCAAACAGGAUUAGAUACCCUGGUAGUCCAUACCGUAAACGAUGAAUGCUAAGUGUUGGAGGGUUUCCGCCCUUCAGUGCUGCAGCUAACGCAUUAAGCAUUCCGCCUGGGGAGUACGGCCGCAAGGCUGAAACUCAAAGGAAUUGACGGGGGCCCGCACAAGCGGUGGAGCAUGUGGUUUAAUUCGAAGCUACGCGAAGAACCUUACCAGGUCUUGACAUACUAUGCAAAUCUAAGAGAUUAGACGUUCCCUUCGGGGACAUGGAUACAGGUGGUGCAUGGUUGUCGUCAGCUCGUGUCGUGAGAUGUUGGGUUAAGUCCCGCAACGAGCGCAACCCUUAUUAUCAGUUGCCAGCAUUAAGUUGGGCACUCUGGUGAGACUGCCGGUGACAAACCGGAGGAAGGUGGGGAUGACGUCAAAUCAUCAUGCCCCUUAUGACCUGGGCUACACACGUGCUACAAUGGAUGGUACAACGAGUUGCGAACUCGCGAGAGUAAGCUAAUCUCUUAAAGCCAUUCUCAGUUCGGAUUGUAGGCUGCAACUUGCCUACAUGAAGUCGGAAUCGCUGUAAUCGCGGAUCAGCAUGCCGCGGUGAAUACGUUCCCGGGCCUUGUACACACCGCCCGUCAC
This 849-nucleotide ribosomal RNA is filed under the name Lactiplantibacillus argentoratensis. RNAcentral describes it as "bacterial SSU rRNA". It matches the Rfam family "Bacterial small subunit ribosomal RNA", at positions 550 to 1400 of the family's 1533-position model. Lineage: Bacteria; Bacillati; Bacillota; Bacilli; Lactobacillales; Lactobacillaceae. The record is from RNAcentral.